Molecule: long non-coding RNA, 190 nt
Organism: Hibiscus syriacus
Lineage: Eukaryota; Viridiplantae; Streptophyta; Magnoliopsida; Malvales; Malvaceae
Exons: 3
Source: RefSeq, a predicted model, not a curated record
AAAAAUUACAAAUUUUAAAUAUAAUUAAAAAAAGAAAAGGACCGAAACGUAUCAUUCUGCACUACUUUAUGAGUUAACAAGCUAUCAAAACCUUACAAUCCCAUUUCAGAAAACCAUUCCUAUCAAGAAACUAUAUUUUACAUUUCCUAUGAUAAUUAUAACAUAUAGGAGUUCUUUUUCUUUUCUUUUU